CCCACUCAUAAACCUAUCACAGCGAUAAAAAAUUUGAAUAAAACAAAGAAUGGACUUGAAAAUGGAUUCAUACGCCAAUUUCAAUUCAUCACUGUCAUUAGUGUGAUUUUGUUCAGAUGCAUGAGAGUGUGUUAGCAUGCUAGCGGUUAGCCUGCUGCGCUUCACUUACGUUAAUCGCUCCGAAUCGCGAUGCAUCUCCUGAAAGUCACUCCGUCGCGGCAUCCGUGGUAACUCAUCGCGUCCUGACCCGGCUGCACGAGCACAGCUGAGAAAGAGCGUGUUUCAGUGUAAACACUGCAGGUGAGGUCACUUCCGCUGCCGCGCGCACAGCGACACCCGCUGGUCAGCAGGGGAAUUACACCCUCGCUGCUGGGUUUCUAAUGAGUUUCAUGUUUGAAGUCAUGGCUUUGCAACAUUAUUAGUCAGCUGAACCCCUUUGACUUUGAUUAAUUAGUUUAAUUAACUGUAAUCAUUUCUUUAAAGCACCUUUUUCUGAAGUAAAUGUGGUUGCUGUUCAUGCAAACUUCUGGGUGAACACUAGUGCAAUGCUUGCCUAAAUGUUAAUUUUAGAAGACCAGCUGCAGCUGCUUCUGUCACUUCAGAUAAAUGUAUCAGCUCAAACUGGACAGCAGCAGACAUGAGAUGCACAUCUAACCAGAGACACGCAGUAGAUGUGGAAGCUGUAGCCGUGGUCAGAUCAGACACAGAGAUCCACGAGUCUGUCUGUCUGAUGGAUGGCAUCCGUGAAACUGCUCCGUCAAGGAACUGGAGAAAAAGAGGAGCAGAAAGCAUGUGGAUGAAGAGUGGCCCAACCUUUACCUGGCUGCUGCUAUGUCUGUGGCCAGUGAUGGGUUCAGUGUGUGGAAGCUGGGCAUCACUCGUGUCCCGAACGCCGCUCAUGGAAAGCUGCACUGCCACGAGUGUUCCGGCUCAACACUCGAUUAUUACAGAGUCCCAGCCGAUGAUUCGCCAUUCGCAUCGGUCUCUGGUUCUGGCUCAUCUCAUGAUACACCAGCAUCUUUCUCUACUGGAGGCUAUCAAAGCGGUCAAACCGCACCGCUGGCUCUUCCCAAACCGCUGCGGGCUCUGGAUGUGACUCCACACCGUACGGAACACAACACACUGUACAUAAACACCAACAACAUUCCAGCAUCACCAGCCUGUGUGAGACUGUCUUUAAUAAAGCGGUUUUACAGCACUGCCAGAAGAACCUUUUCAGUGAACAGUUCUUAAAAGAACCAUUUUUUUUAGUGUGAACAUUUUUCCACUAAAGAUUUACCUUUUGUUCCAUGGAUGUUAAAGGUUCUUUAUGGAACCAUCAAUGACAAUAAAGUGUACGGGAGAGGUUCGCACACCUCAAGUCUCAUGUUUUAGAAGUAAAAUGUAAUAAAUGACUUAAUAAUUUUACAGCUAACUUUAGGUAUUCAAUUACUUGGUAAAAAUUUAGAUAAUUCUGAGAUUUAUUGUGUAUAUAAUAAUAAUCUUUACUGUAAAAUGUGCUUUAACUAAUACUUUUAUAUAGUGAAAAAUAAAAGUCCCUGCAUG
RNAcentral lists this long non-coding RNA (1545 nucleotides) under Sinocyclocheilus grahami. RNAcentral's name for it is "lncRNA (ENSSGRG00000023803.1)". Lineage: Eukaryota; Metazoa; Chordata; Actinopteri; Cypriniformes; Cyprinidae. The record is from RNAcentral.